This 69-nucleotide transfer RNA is filed under the name Ictidomys tridecemlineatus (thirteen-lined ground squirrel). Its description in RNAcentral is "Spermophilus tridecemlineatus (thirteen-lined ground squirrel) tRNA". It matches the Rfam family "tRNA". From Rfam's summary of the family: Transfer RNA (tRNA) molecules are approximately 80 nucleotides in length. Their secondary structure includes four short double-helical elements and three loops (D, anti-codon, and T loops). Lineage: Eukaryota; Metazoa; Chordata; Mammalia; Rodentia; Sciuridae. The record is from Rfam by way of RNAcentral.
GGGGUUGUGGCUCAGUGGUAGAGCGCUUGCCUUGCACGCUUGAGGCCCUGGGUUCCAUCCUCAGCCCCA